AGUGAACGCUGGCGGCAGGCCUAACACAUGCAAGUCGAACGGCAGCACAGUAAGAGCUUGCUCUUACGGGUGGCGAGUGGCGGACGGGUGAGGAAUACAUCGGAAUCUACUUUUUCGUGGGGGAUAACGUAGGGAAACUUACGCUAAUACCGCAUAUGACCUACGGGUGAAAGCAGGGGAUCUUCGGACCUUGCGCGAUUGAAUGAGCCGAUGUCGGAUUAGCUAGUUGGCGGGGUAAAGGCCCACCAAGGCGACGAUCCGUAGCUGGUCUGAGAGGAUGAUCAGCCACACUGGAACUGAGACACGGUCCAGACUCCUACGGGAGGCAGCAGUGGGGAAUAUUGGACAAUGGGCGCAAGCCUGAUCCAGCCAUACCGCGUGGGUGAAGAAGGCCUUCGGGUUGUAAAGCCCUUUUGUUGGGAAAGAAAAGCAGCAGGUUAAUACCCCGCUGUUCUGACGGUACCCAAAGAAUAAGCACCGGCUAACUUCGUG
RNAcentral lists this ribosomal RNA (492 nucleotides) under uncultured bacterium. RNAcentral's name for it is "partial 16S ribosomal RNA". It matches the Rfam family "Bacterial small subunit ribosomal RNA", at positions 29 to 507 of the family's 1533-position model. The record is from RNAcentral.